This 82-nucleotide microRNA precursor is filed under the name Loxodonta africana (African savanna elephant). Its description in RNAcentral is "miRNA (ENSLAFG00000023810.1)". The record is from RNAcentral. Lineage: Eukaryota; Metazoa; Chordata; Mammalia; Proboscidea; Elephantidae.
CCUGUGCGCAGGGGGCACCCUCACUGAAUGCUACCCCUGCUAGACCGAGGCUCCUUGAAGACAGGUCUACACUCACCUCCUG